UACCGUGUACAAGGUGCAGGUGGUAUGUGAGCUGAGGAUAUAAAGAUGAGAAACUGCCCAGCCUUGCUCAAAAGGAGAAAAGUAAAUUCUAGCAAGAUUGUGGAUGAAAUGCCAGAAAUUCCUUUGAUAAGUCCUUAGCAGGACACUAUCUACUUAUGAGGGACACAAAUUCUUGGGUGGGGAACACAAAUACUUAGGACGGAAGCACAAAUAAUUCUAAAAUGAUGCAGCAUGUGAAAAGCCAAAGAAAGGUGACAAAGUGACCUAGGAAAACUUGAGGAAAGCUCAUUUUCCUUUGUGGGAGAGAGGAUCUGGGAAGACUUCGUAGAGAAGGUAUCAUCUGAGCUGAACUUUGAAGGAAGAGGAAGAAUUUUGAAGAAUGUCAUACAUUCCAGGAGUUGUGGAGAGAGGCAUGCUGCAGUCUAGAAAUUCUGCUUAAGUCUAGCAUCAAUAGCUUUCCUCUGGGGUUAUUUGUUUUGGAAGUUAUUCCACUUUAAGGAUGAAGAUGAGAAUGGAGCACUUACUAUUCCUUAAUGGCUGAGAUCCGAUGAUAGGUCACUGAGUUUUUUAAAAAAAAUCUUGAGUUUCUUCAAUGGAGCUCAUACAAAGUCACUAGAAUAUUGGUGUAUUCCCAUGCUUGCUUCUGACUUCUGCAAUUUUAAAUGACUUCCUCUCCUAUCCCCAAGGUUGAGAUUUUUAAAUACUCAAUUCAGUACAAUUUUAUGUAUAUACUUUUCAUAUUGGCUUCUAAUACAGAAUUAGAUAUGCCACACAUUCAUCUGUUCAUUCACUCAUUCAUCCAUCCCUACAUCUAUCGAUAGCUUCAGCUGUAUCCUCAGGAUACAGGAUAAAGAUUAAUGAUGAGAUAUGCAUGAAUAUUAGGACAAACAUUUCCACUCUUGACCAGUGUUGGUUAUGUUGGGUUUUGUAUCAGAGUAUUGAUUUGAAGGAUAAAGAUAAGAACAGAAGCUGGUAGUCAUCGCUAUGAUAAGUAUCUACGGAUUUAGUAUGCAGAGAUUCCUAUUGCUGAAGCAAAAAAAUAUUUACUAUAAUAUUGGGGGCAGUCUAUAUCUACUCAUUAAUAUGUAUGCUUUGUCACUGGAGUCACUUUUUUCACCAUUGAAAUUCACAUAUAAAUCGAUAUGAUAUAUAGUAAAAAUUUUACAUCUAAAAGAAUUCAACAAUGUGACCAAGAGAGGGUGAAUGAAUUCAAUUAAUUAAAAUUUGAAUAUGUAUCUUUCAUUUUUCUUGCAAUACCCUAAAAUUCAUCUCUAUUUAGAAGCUUAUUUGGUUGAAUGGUAAUAAUAGUCAUUAUUUACCUGACAUUUUACAGCUUACAAAGUACUUUCUUAUGCUUACAUCUUGUUUGAUUGUUGUAACAACUCUGCAAGUUAGGCAAGUCAAAUAUUAUUGUCUUUGCUUUACAUGUGAAGAAACUGAGUCAAAAAAGGUUUCUCUCUUUGACUGUGUCCCAGUGCACAGUG
Long non-coding RNA from Monodelphis domestica (gray short-tailed opossum), 1484 nucleotides. RefSeq lists it as uncharacterized. The record is from RefSeq and is a predicted model, not a curated record. Lineage: Eukaryota; Metazoa; Chordata; Mammalia; Didelphimorphia; Didelphidae.